RNAcentral lists this RNase P RNA (303 nucleotides) under Candidatus Bathyarchaeota archaeon. RNAcentral describes it as "RNase P RNA component". It matches the Rfam family "Archaeal RNase P". Rfam says of the family: Ribonuclease P (RNase P) is a ubiquitous endoribonuclease, found in archaea, bacteria and eukarya as well as chloroplasts and mitochondria. Lineage: Archaea; Thermoproteati; Candidatus Bathyarchaeota. The record is from RNAcentral.
GCGAGUUGGUGAGCGGCUUUCGAGCCUGAAAAGGCUUGAGGAAACUCCGCCCCACACGUAGAGUUGCAACACCCGCAAGGGUGUAAGGCGAGAGCCUUGGCUCCGGAGCAGAAACGAAACGUCCAUCCAGCAGGUGCCGAUGAUGCAUGUUAAGUUGUUGAGAAUGCUGGAUGCGAAACGGUGAAACGGCCGUCCUGCAAGUGGAAAGGGCGAACAGGCGCUGAUGAAGUUUCUACCUGAAGUGCGGGUAGCCCGAUUAGUCGGAUGCCGCUUAAAACAGAAGGCGGGUUACAGCCAACACGC